CCAUCUGGCUGAUCCAACCCCAGGCUGGAAGCCUGCGUCCGCACCGACGGCAGCAGCAGUGCUUUGUCCUCAUCCCUCGGGUCUAUCUCCUCCUCCUAGGGAUGUGAUGGCGAUGGGCAGCAGCUGCUGAUCCAAGGCGGUGUAGCCCUGAUCCCUAUGCUACAACGGGCCGGGGGAUCUAUGGAUGCUUUUCAUCCAAGUUGAGAUAACUGGUUCACUUGGAGUUUACCUUACGCAACAGCCUGCGAAGCUCCAAAUUGAGUAUUUUGACGGAAAUAUAUCCAUAAUCCAAAAAAAAGGAGAAGAGAGAGGAGAGGGAAACUGAAGUGGAACUAGGGAGCUACCUGGUCGCCUCUCAUAAUACCUUGGGUCCUCUCUCCACCCAUGGUGUGGGAACAAAGAUGGUGCCAAGGCCAAGCACAAUGAACAUGCGCUCGUCGACUCUUCGUUGCGCCGGAAGGCGCGCAUGGUGCCGCAGGCUGGUCAGGUUGCUGUGGAAGUAGAAGGAUGUAACUGUGUCAUGUAUAUCAGGCAUCU
Long non-coding RNA from Panicum hallii, 537 nucleotides. RefSeq lists it as uncharacterized. NCBI's taxonomy places the organism in Eukaryota, Viridiplantae, Streptophyta, Magnoliopsida, Poales, Poaceae. The transcript is spliced from 3 exons. The record is from RefSeq and is a predicted model, not a curated record.